CCUACGGGUGGCAGCAGUGAGGAAUAUUGGUCAAUGGACGCAAGCCUGAACCAGCCAUGCCGCGUGCAGGAAGACGGCCCUACGAGUUGUAAACUGCUUUUAUACGGGGAUAAACGGAGAUACGCGUAUCUUUCUGUAUGUACCUUAUGAAUAAGGAUCGGCUAACUCCGUGCCAGCAGCCGCGGUACUACGGAGGAUUCGAGCGUUAUCCGGAUUUAUUGGGUUUAAAGGGAGCGUAGGUGGUUUGUUAAGUCAGUUGUGAAAUCUCGCGGCUCAACCUUGCAAUUGCAUGUGAUACUGGUCGGCGUGAGUGCAGUUGAGGUAGGCGGAAUGCGUGGUGUAGCGGUGAAAUGCUUAGAGAUCAGGAAGAACACCGAUUGCGAAGGCAGCUUACUAAGCUGCUACUGACGUUGAUGCUCGAAAGCGUGGGGAGCAAACAGGAUUAGAUACCCUUGUAGUC
Molecule: ribosomal RNA, 460 nt
Filed under: uncultured bacterium
Lineage: Bacteria
Description: partial 16S ribosomal RNA
Rfam family: Bacterial small subunit ribosomal RNA
Source: RNAcentral